UAGGGAAUCUUCCACAAUGGACGCAAGUCUGAUGGAGCAACGCCGCGUGAGUGAAGAAGGUUUUCGGAUCGCAAAGCUCUGUUGUUGGUGAAGAAGGAUAGAGGCAGUAACUGGUCUUUAUUUGACGGUAAUCAACCAGAAAGUCACGGCUAACUACGUGCCAGCAGCCGCGGUAAUACGUAGGUGGCAAGCGUUGUCCGGAUUUAUUGGGCGUAAAGCGAGCGCAGGCGGAAUGAUAAGUCUGAUGUGAAAGCCCACGGCUCAACCGUUGAACUGCAUCGGAAACUGUCAUUCUUGAGUGCAGAAGAGGAGAGUGGAAUUCCAUGUGUAGCGGUGGAAUGCGUAGAUAUAUGGAAGAACACCAGUGGCGAAGGCGGCUCUCUGGUCUGCAACUGACGCUGAGGCUCGAAAGCAUGGGUAGCGAACAGG
Molecule: ribosomal RNA, 429 nt
Filed under: bacterium
Lineage: Bacteria
Description: partial 16S ribosomal RNA
Rfam family: Bacterial small subunit ribosomal RNA
Source: RNAcentral